Molecule: ribosomal RNA, 513 nt
Filed under: uncultured bacterium
Lineage: Bacteria
Description: bacterial SSU rRNA
Rfam family: Bacterial small subunit ribosomal RNA
Source: RNAcentral
GAGUUUGAUCUUGGCUCAGAAUGAACGCUGGCGGCGUGCUUUACACAUGCAAGUCGAGCGAGGCGUGUAGCAAUACACAGUCGAGCGGCGAACGGGUGAGUAACGCGUGGAUUAUCUGCCCUGAGGUGGGGGAUAACCCGGGGAAACUCGGGCUAAUACCGCAUAGGACCGUGAGGUCAAAGGGGGGUCGCAAGAUCUCUCGCCAUAGGAGGAGUCCGCGUCCGAUUAGCUAGUUGGUAGGGUAAUGGCCUACCAAGGCGACGAUCGGUAGCCGGCCUGAGAGGGUGAUCGGCCACACUGGAACUGAGACACGGUCCAGACUCCUACGGGAGGCAGCAGUGGGGAAUUUUGCGCAAUGGGCUAACGCCUGACGCAGCAACGCCGCGUGGAGGAUGAAGGUCCUUGGAUUGUAAACUCCUGUCAGCAGGGAAAAAGCAACUCAACCUAAUACGUUGAGAAGUUGAUUGUACCUGCAGAGGAAGCCCCGGCUAACUCUGUGCCAGCAGCCGCGGU